CCGCUUCCUCCCUCCAAAGCCCCCCUCCCCCUUUCUCCUCUUUCCCUCCCAAGCAAAUCCUCUGCUCUCCCCCCGCCUCCUCCUCCUUCCUCUGCCGCUUGCCGUGUUUGGUUCGGCACCGAAAUGGCAUUCCACGACGAGGCGCCGCUGCUGCUCAGGAUCAACACCGCCAGAGGCGGCCACAUGGGCGGAGGCGAGUGCGACGAGGCGGAGAACCAGCGGUGGCCGCCGUGGCUCAAGCCGCUGCUGGCGACCAGCUUCUUCGGGCAAUGCAAGAUGCACGCCGACGCCCACAAGUGCGAGUGCAACAUGUACUGCCUCGACUGCGUCAACGGCGCGCUCUGCUCCCAGUGCCUCGCCUACCACCACGGCCACCACGCCAUCCAGAUAAGGAGGUCCUCGUACCACGACGUGAUCCGCGUGUCGGAGAUCCAGAAGGUGCUGGACAUCACCGGCGUGCAGACCUACAUCAUCAACAGCGCGCGCGUGGUGUUCCUCAACGAGCGCCCGCAGCCCAGGCCCGGCAAGGGCGUCACCAACACCUGCGACGUCUGCGAGCGCAGCCUCCUCGACACCUUCCGCUUCUGCUCCCUCGGAUGCAAGAUCGUAGGCACCUCCGGCGAGUUCCGCGGCCGGAAGAGGCACGCCGGCGGCAAGAAGAUGAAGCUGAAGCUGAAGAAGGCGGCGGCGUCGGACUCGGACGACUCGUCCACCAUCACCAGCGGCGGGAGCGACAAGAGCAGCGUGGUGCAGAGCUUCUCCCCGUCGACCCCGCCGGCCACCGCCAACAGCUACCGCUCCGCCAAGCGGCGCAAGGGCAUCCCGCACCGCUCGCCCUUCGGCAGCCUCAUCGUGGAGUUCUAGAGCAUCGCAUCGCAUCGCCCGCCCACACCUCCCUCGCCGGGACACCUAUGACCGCGAGUGAGCCUGAGAGGGUGCUGUGCCGGUGCUAGAAAAAUCUCUGCGGAUUUGGAGGAGACGGUGGCGAGGCAGUGGGGCACUGUGGCACCGUCAGCUGCACCGGGCCGGCCGGCCUGCCGGCUAACUUGCUUGACCCGCCAUUCAUGAAAGCGGCCGGGCGAUGCCGACGUGGUCGCCAUCGUCGUCGCUGGACCGUUGCUCCCCGCCCAUACGGAAGAGCCAGGACCCCUCUGCCCAGCCCAACCCCCGCCCGCCAUUCAACGCGGGCGGCAGGCCUGCCGCUCCUCUGUGUGCCCCUGUCUGUGGCAGUAGCAAUAAAUACGAUGGAUGGAUCGAUCUAGGGUUGAGAUCGGUCGUACGAAAAUACAAAUGAUGCUGU
Molecule: ribosomal RNA, 1300 nt
Filed under: Triticum aestivum (bread wheat)
Lineage: Eukaryota; Viridiplantae; Streptophyta; Magnoliopsida; Poales; Poaceae
Description: partial small subunit ribosomal RNA
Source: RNAcentral